Molecule: ribosomal RNA, 764 nt
Filed under: uncultured Streptococcus sp.
Lineage: Bacteria; Bacillati; Bacillota; Bacilli; Lactobacillales; Streptococcaceae
Description: bacterial SSU rRNA
Rfam family: Bacterial small subunit ribosomal RNA
Source: RNAcentral
GAUGAACGCUGGCGGCGUGCCUAUACAUGCAAGUAGAACGCUGAAGCUUGGUGCUUGCACCGAGCGGAUGAGUUGCGAACGGGUGAGUAACGCGUAGGUAACCUGCCUGGUAGCGGGGGAUAACUAUUGGAAACGAUAGCUAAUACCGCAUAACAGUCGACAUUGCAUGAUGUUGAUUUGAAAGGGGCAAUUGCUCCACUACCAGAUGGACCUGCGUUGUAUUAGCUAGUUGGUGAGGUAACGGCUCACCAAGGCGACGAUACAUAGCCGACCUGAGAGGGUGAUCGGCCACACUGGGACUGAGACACGGCCCAGACUCCUACGGGAGGCAGCAGUAGGGAAUCUUCGGCAAUGGACGGAAGUCUGACCGAGCAACGCCGCGUGAGUGAAGAAGGUUUUCGGAUCGUAAAGCUCUGUUGUAAGAGAAGAACGAGUGUGAGAGUGGAAAGUCCACACUGUGACGGUAACUUACCAGAAAGGGACGGCUAACUACGUGCCAGCAGCCGCGGUAAUACGUAGGUCCCGAGCGUUAUCCGGAUUUAUUGGGCGUAAAGCGAGCGCAGGCGGUUAGAUAAGUCUGAAGUUAAAGGCUGUGGCUUAACCAUAGUACGCUUUGGAAACUGUUUAACUUGAGUGCAGAAGGGGAGAGUGGAAUUCCAUGUGUAGCGGUGAAAUGCGUAGAUAUAUGGAGGAACACCGGUGGCGAAAGCGGCUCUCUGGUCUGUAACUGACGCUGAGGCUCGAAAGCGUGGGGAGCAAACAGG